Molecule: transfer RNA, 87 nt
Filed under: Metamycoplasma subdolum
Lineage: Bacteria; Bacillati; Mycoplasmatota; Mycoplasmoidales; Metamycoplasmataceae
Description: Mycoplasma subdolum tRNA-Leu
Rfam family: tRNA
About the family: Transfer RNA (tRNA) molecules are approximately 80 nucleotides in length. Their secondary structure includes four short double-helical elements and three loops (D, anti-codon, and T loops).
Source: RNAcentral
GCCCAGGUGGCGGAAUGGUAGACGCUGCGGACUUAAAAUCCGUUGGCUGUAAUGGCCGUGCUGGUUCAAGUCCAGUCCCGGGCACCA